AUUAUAUAAUGUUUAUAUAAGGUUCUUGUUUAUUUUCUUGUUUGAUUUUUGUAUAUAUAGUAAUUAUAAGGUGCAUUUGAAUUAAUAUCUUUAGGUUCUUAUUUCUGUUGUAAGGAUGGGGGACAGGGAGAUUUGGAAUUCUGGAAUGAGGACUGAAAGAAGUUGAGUGGCAGUUGAGGACCAAAGACUUCUGGGAGGAAAACAUUUCUGAAGGCAUCUGAGGAAAAUCUGGGUCUUCUGACCUGGGACCUGAAGUUGUCAGGACCAGUUUUGGGGGGACUGAGGAUAUACCUAAGCUACAUGAGAAGAUCCUGUUUCUUCCUUCAAGCUGAUAGCUGACCUGCCUCCAGCAUACAUCUACCACUUCCCUCAACCUGAAGAAAGACAUCUCAGAACCCUAAGUGGGGAAGGGGGGGGAAGAGGGACAGGGACAGGAAAUCACCAUAAAAGCCACAAAAUCCUUCAGCUGGGGGCAGUCUGGUGAACUUGAGUCUCAUGGAGAGUGUCUCCUGGAGAUAGUCUUCAAGGGAACUCCAUUGGAGACCUCAGUGUGGAUGGUGACUUCAACUUGGACUCUGACUCCUGGACUACGUCAUUAGAAUGUGUUGGUGUUCAGCCUAGCAGAAUGAUCAAAGGGAGAUGUGUCUGGAACAGAGUGAAGACAAAUUGUUGCCGCCACACAGGAUAAGCCAUAAACCAGCCAUGCAGCUGAACAGCCAGAGAUAACUAGGAAGGGCUGUUUCUGAAUUCUCUGGAAUCAGUCCCACCACCUCAAGCCCUAGGGAGAGGAAUGAGUCAAACAGAGUGAAAUCAACAAGGUAGCUCCUUGGGGGAUGGGGGAGGGGAAAUUGAUAAAUCCAACUGUUUGCUGAACCUCAGACUUUGUAUCCUAGAAAAUACCACUGGAAUCUAUCAACAGAGGACUCUUAAAGCAAUUGUAUCUGCUGCAGCCUUGACUCCAGAGACCCCUACUGGUUCACAGCUGAUGACUGAAGGAAUUGACACCAAAGAGUCCACAAGUGCCAGGCUCUUAAGGGAUUUAGCCAAGGAAGGAGACAGGAAGUGAUGUGUAAAAAGGAGUAUAAAACGUCCUGAACAUCCUGUCCAAGGGACUUCUCCUUGAGGCUUGUCCUUUGGACUUCUUCUCUGGAGUCUCUGAUUCUUGGAUCUUCUCCUUUGAACUUUUUUUGGAUGAUGACUUCUUCGAUUUUGACUUGGAG
Molecule: long non-coding RNA, 1220 nt
Filed under: Monodelphis domestica (gray short-tailed opossum)
Lineage: Eukaryota; Metazoa; Chordata; Mammalia; Didelphimorphia; Didelphidae
Description: lncRNA (ENSMODG00000045114.1)
Source: RNAcentral